Molecule: long non-coding RNA, 1244 nt
Organism: Carassius auratus (goldfish)
Lineage: Eukaryota; Metazoa; Chordata; Actinopteri; Cypriniformes; Cyprinidae
Exons: 3
Source: RefSeq, a predicted model, not a curated record
AGCAGUGAAUGCCACUAUAUUCUCCAGGUGAAUUUGGUUUGCCAACAGAAUCAGGUCAUCAGUGCCCGUGCCUGAAGAGUGUCUGAAACCUCUGCUGUAGGUUUGAUGUAGACAGCUGAGACGCGAGCAGGAAGAAGUUACCACAGCAGCUGUCAGAGCUACAUCUUCAAGAACACUCAGGAAUGGAAAAACUCCAAAUGUCCAUGGUGUUAAUAUAAACACUGGUGCCAGAACGUCCAAGACCGAAGACCUAGCUCGAAGACCUGGCACACAGUUGACUCUGCUCAUCUGAUUUUUGGAAGAUGAUUUUCUGGAAGAAAUCGAAGAUGGGAAAGAAAUGGUGUGGGCUAGGGAAGACCAAACCUUGGAGUCCUGGGACAUGGUAAGACAGAAUUUCCCACAGUCUUUCCCAGAUAAGGUGAUUUAAGUUGAGGAACUUUUCCAGAUGCUGUGUCAGGGAUCUGUCAUUCUCAUGCAGACUGGCUUCAGAAAGACACUGACCCAUCAGGCCAAAAUGCUGAACUAUGUGAUCAUCCAUCAAUCCCCAAGACCACAGAAGAGGGAGAGCAGGGAAGAGUCCAUCCUUUCUGGGAAUUGUUGGGACCAUCCUCAACCUACUUGUCAUUAUUUUGUCUACAUCUAUACCUCUAUCUGACACAAGACUGUUGAAUAUUAUAUUAUGUGGAUGAAAUAUGAUAGACCCUAGUCUGGUUUGGUACAAUAUUUUAUUUUUGGAGGCUGUGUGGGAUACAAAUAAAGCGUGUUUAAUGGAUAGUGCUGUACCACAAACUGAUUGUUCAGUGAGCUGGUUACAUAGGACCUUACUGUUAAAUUCAAUAUGACAUCUAACCUAAGCUCUUUUAAGACAAGUAAAUGAUCAUCCCAGUUAGGCAGGUUUUCUCUGUUGUUUCAGGUAAAAAGACUGUUUUCCUAUUUCCGUAGUAUCUAAAGAAUCUAAAUUGUUGUGAAGGAGUUUAAUGGUUAUUAUUUACUGAUCACUUGUGAAGCUCACUGAAUUUAUUGUCCAUUUACUGCAGUUGUACUUUGUACAAUCUCCUUUACUUCCACAGAGACAAACAGAAUUUUGAAAAGCAUUAAAAAUGAAAUAUUUUUAACAGUGCAUGUCUGUUCGGGAAAUACUAUGGCGUUUUACUCUUUUUAUCCUAAAUUAAACAAACAUGCACUUUUAUGACUCCAUAUUCACUGAAUUCAUUUAAAGGGAUAGUUCGCACAACGAUGAACUA